AAGUGUUUUGUUUUUUUUCAGAUUUCUCUUGGGAACUGCUGGUAGAAAGCACCUGUCUUGUAUCUGCCGCUGACUGGCUGAUUAGCAGCAGGUGUGGAGCACCUCACUGAUCUGACCUGUGUCACUGUGAGCAGACAGCUCUGGAUUCACCUGAACUUUCUCUGUCUGUUGUCCUUCUUCCAGCUUAAAGGUGCAGAAGGCAAGUUUGUACGUUUGUGGCUCCAAAACGGCAGCGAGAGGUGAAAUAUUUUUGCUUCGGUACAAAGAAAUCCUGUAUGAAGAUCCCUAAACUGCACCAACCCAGCUGGUUUUGUGCUGCCACAAAACAGGAUCUGAUGUUGCAGAUCAAGAACCUGUGUGUGUAUGUGUGUGUGUGUGUGCGCGCACCAUGCAUGCAUGCAUCCGGCCUGGGAACCCCUCAGGAUCCAUCGGGAGGAGCUGAUGCUGAGAAGAAGAAGGACUUCUUGGCCUGCUGCCAUUAUGAUCUGGACCGUGGGAUCAAGCUCGUGAGGAGCGCUGCUGAUGGUGCAACCGACCGUUUAUCCUGCUGAGCGUUCAGAAGCUGUGCGGCUGCCCCUCUUCUUCUGUGCAGAUGGAAUCACUGUGCAGAACGAGACAAUUACUCCAUGACAACUCUGCAAACUCCAUCCACGGACGAGGUGAAAAAGCUACAAUGGACCUUGAGGAGGGUCAUAUAGCCUCGGCGAGAGCGCACGUGCCGGUCGGGAGUGUGUUUGCCCGCUCAAACGUGAGCGCGUUGGACUGCAUGAGCCGUGGCGGAGUCCGCCAUUCCCACGCUGGAGUCAGAUUGCCUUCUCACACACACGAUGGACUGAGGGGGAAACGAUGCAGCUUGUGAUCCAGUGUUAUUGUUUGUAAUUUGAUCUCACUGUUAACUGUUCACUCAAGUUACUGCUAAUGCUAACACAACGUUUUGUACUGCCGCUUCACAUUAAAAGACUUCAACUGGUCAAACAAGGGGUGGCUUUUAUUGUGAAGUAGCUACAGGAAACGCAAUGUGUUUGUCACAGAGGUUAGCGAUAAAUGCGAAUUAGAGAAAUAUUAUUGACUGAUGUCUCCAUUAAAACAAUGUGAGUUUGUUUGGCUGCGCUGUAAACAAAUAUAUUUGGUCUUCUGUGUAGAGCAAAUGCUGCAUUAAACCGCACUUCACGCAGUAUAUAAUACAUUGUUUAUAUAACAUUAUAGUGUAGUUGUAAGCAGACAUAAGGACAUGUAAGUGUUUAUUAAUGUACAAUUAUCUUGCCUUCUCCUAUGAAGACACACACAGUGGCGACUUUUAUUAGGUACACCUGUAGAAUCUAAUGCAAUCUAAUACAACAGCACUGAGGUCAUAAUGGUGUUGUACUGGGCUGCAUUAUAUUCAGAGGUGUUUCUAUUAUUCUGACCCCCUCAUGUAUGUAAACGGGGAGGACAAAAAAACUAGAAACACCUCAAUAUAAUGUCGUCCAGUACAACAGCACCUAUAACUAUGACCUCAGUAAUAGACAUAAUUCACUUUACACAUUUCUGACAAUGUCACCAAAAAGUUUGAGUAGAGAUAGACGAUAUGGCAGAGCUGUUGUAUUGGACUGCACUAGAUUGUACAGGUGUACCUAAUAAAACGGCCACGGACUGCAUUUUAUAUUAUUACAACUGUAUUAUAUUGCCAUUCAUUGUCUGUUUAAACACCAGCUUUCACUUAUGGAUGCUUUACACAACAAGUUCAAGUUAUUGACAACUAGAUUAUAGUGUUAUAAACAAUGUAUUAAAUGUUUAUGUGGUGCUUAUAAAUGCUAAAGCGUGACCUUUUAAUCAGAUAAAAACUUAUCCUGUGAUCUGCUGUCAAAGAACAUUUUAGUACUUUAGGUUCUUAAGACCCAACCCAGUAAAAUGGAUCUGUAUAGAACAGUUUAGGGGUCCUAAAUAUGCAGUGGUGGAAAGUAACUAAGUACAUUUUAGUAAGUACAUGUACUGUACUUAAGUACAAUUUUGAGGUACGUGUACCUCACUUGAGUAUUUCAAUUUUCUUAC
Siniperca chuatsi (mandarin fish) is the source of this 2031-nucleotide long non-coding RNA. RefSeq lists it as uncharacterized. The record is from RefSeq and is a predicted model, not a curated record. NCBI's taxonomy places the organism in Eukaryota, Metazoa, Chordata, Actinopteri, Centrarchiformes, Sinipercidae. The transcript has 7 exons.